CAUGGUCACUGUCUAAAAAGUUCAUAUAAGGAAAAUCCUCGAAAAAUAUGAUUCAGUUUGUUGUGCCAAACUUUGAAACAACACAGAGUUGCUGAGCAUCCUAGCAUUACUACUUGUUGAUGAUAGCUAAUGUAAGGGCACUUGCCGUCUUUGUAAUUUGUUUCCGUUCAGCGUGUAUCCGCUUGCAUAGGUCUGCAGCACAAAAAUUAGAGAUUGAAACUAUAUAAAUUCAGUGAAACGAAGUUAUUGAGCACAAAAAGAUAUUGCCUUUCAAAGCACAAAAAGAUGUUACCUUUCAAAUCGU
Molecule: long non-coding RNA, 304 nt
Filed under: Setaria viridis
Lineage: Eukaryota; Viridiplantae; Streptophyta; Magnoliopsida; Poales; Poaceae
Description: long non-coding RNA (SVIR_LNC005443)
Source: RNAcentral